UUUAUGGAGAGUUUGAUCCUGGCUCAGGAUGAACGCUGGCGGCGUGCCUAAUACAUGCAAGUCGAGCGAACGGACGAGAAGCUUGCUUUUCUGAUGUUAGCGGCGGACGGGUGAGUAACACGUGGAUAACCUACCUAUAAGACUGGGAUAACUUCGGGAAACCGGAGCUAAUACCGGAUAAUAUUUUGAACCGCAUGGUUCAAAAGUGAAAGACGGUCUUGCUGUCACUUAUAGAUGGAUCCGCGCUGCAUUAGCUAGUUGGUAAGGUAACGGCUUACCAAGGCAACGAUGCAUAGCCGACCUGAGAGGGUGAUCGGCCACACUGGAACUGAGACACGGUUCAGACUCCUACGGGAGGCAGCAGUAGGGAAUCUUCCGCAAUGGGCGAAAGCCUGACGGAGCAACGCCGCGUGAGUGAUGAAGGUCUUCGGAUCGUAAAACUCUGUUAUUAGGGAAGAACAUAUGUGUAAGUAACU
Molecule: ribosomal RNA, 476 nt
Filed under: Staphylococcus aureus
Lineage: Bacteria; Bacillati; Bacillota; Bacilli; Caryophanales; Staphylococcaceae
Description: bacterial SSU rRNA
Rfam family: Bacterial small subunit ribosomal RNA
Source: RNAcentral